Xiphophorus hellerii (green swordtail) is the source of this 2606-nucleotide long non-coding RNA. RefSeq lists it as uncharacterized. Lineage: Eukaryota; Metazoa; Chordata; Actinopteri; Cyprinodontiformes; Poeciliidae. The record is from RefSeq and is a predicted model, not a curated record. The transcript is spliced from 4 exons.
UUUGUGUUCUGUUUUUGUUUUGUUAUAAAUAGAAAUUGUAAAAAGAAGAAAUUUUAUAAUUGAUCACAGACUGGAACUGUGACCUCGACGUGGAAACAAGCUUUUCUGUAAUCUUCUCAAAGUUUCAAAAAUAAAGAAUAUAAACAAAAAGGAUUAUGUGUUAUUGCAAAGGCAAUUUCAAGUUAGGUUGUCCAGGAUUGUUUUUUGGACAGGUCAGACAGUCGAUCUGUUUUCACGUUGGCCAGGAUUCUCUUGCAGAAUGGAAUCUAUUUUGCUGCCUACAGGAAGUCGCAUAUAUCUUAACUGAGCCUUAGAAUUAGAGUUAAUUCAAACAAUUGCUGACUUAUUCUAAGACCACCUCAAAAAACUUGUCUGAGGAAACUGUCUACAUAUUGUGUAUGUAUUUAUCGCUGUCCAGGUGGGAUGGUAUCAGCAACCAUUGCUACAGUUUGGUGAAGCCACUUCAAACCCGCAGCAGAGCAGCAGCACAAACCAAACACUGCCUGCCAUUUCUUAGGCAACAGUCUUCACAAUGACCACUAUUCAAAGUAGUACUGAUGUGUGCCAUAAUAGGAGCCAGGCCCAGAAUUUUCUAUUGUGUCUGCCUGUGUAUGUUGUGUUUGUUUAUCUGGGCAGCAGGCUGAAAUUGACACAAAGCACACAGAUGAUGGAUAGUGAGUGGAUGAGUUUUUCUUUUUGCUUUCUGUAAGUCACGAGGAAUUGACUGCUUUGGAAUUGCACUUCUACCAUAAGCGGACCAAGUUUAGAAGCCAGGGUGUCAUGUACUCCAGGCAGAGAUGCUUGAGCUCAAUACCUAACAGCUCUUCAGCCUCUGUAGCUCGGACCUGACACCCUGAAAUAAGCUAAGCAGAGAAAAAAACCAAGUGCAAAGGUCGAGAGGACCAUUCACAGCAGUUCUCAAGUCUGCAUCAGUUCAUUCAUCUCUCCGUUUCAACACACAGGUCUCUGGAAACUACCUUAUAACAUGAUGAAAACCACCAGAACUCUGUGCCUGUUUCUCCUGUUCCUGCUCCACCCUGCUGAAGCAGACCCAGCUCUUUCAACUACCACCAUGGAUUUACCCACAUCCCAAGACCAAACAGGCAGCCCAACAUUUACAGCAGAGUCCCACCUCACAGCAACUUACCAUGAAAACCCAGCUGUUGCAAUCAACGCCACUGGUGGCGACUGCUUAAUUGACACUGAGAUGGGUCUCAUUGCCAUUGGUUCAGCAGGAGGAUUAAUCCUCUGCUUACUGGUUACAACAUCUGUGCUUGCAUGUCAGAUCUGUGUCCUUCAGCACCGGGUCUACAUCCCCCGAAGUCGCCGAUCUAACACGGACAUAAGUGGUACUCACUACUGGGAAGCAGAUCAAACAGAGAUAGAAGGGCUGGUUGGCCCGUGUGAUACUACUGUUAUGCUAGAGGAGGUGAGAACAGACGGUACGACUGACAUACAGGAGGCUAAGGAGGAAGCUUGGGCAGGACUUGAUGAAGGGAAAACAACUUCUACUGAACCUGAAGAAAGAGUCUUUCAGAUCCAGAGCUUCAGUUCUAAGGAUUCCUGUUUGGAGGUCCCCAAGGAUUUGGAAGACAUGCCUCUUGUUGUAUAAAAUGGUAACCCACCCCUGUGUAAGCAUACCAAAUUUGUUAUGUUGUCUUUAUUCUUAUUUUUUUAGAAACUAAAGUUAUUGUAAAACGUAAGGCUACUUAGAUAUUAAAAAAUUGGGAUUAUCUUUAGAAUUUAAGAUUGAUUUAAAUUUAAAAAGAAACCAAUAAACCAACACUGAUAGCAGAUUAUAAGUUGUACAGUUUUUGAAAAAGUUUAGCUGUGUCAAAAUAGUUUUUUCACUAACAGAUUCAAGUUCAAAUAUGAAAAAAGUGUUUAUACACAAAGCAAAGUUUGAUGUUUGAGCUGUAUGAUGCUACAGAACUACUUUUGGUCACUAUCAAUUAAACAAAUAAAGGAAAAAGAAAAUACUGAAAACGAAGAAAUAAGUAUGUGACAUACUCAUGUUUAUAAAAUAUGAGAAAUCUGAAAGAAUAUUUUAAGAUUUCCGUUAGAACAGAGUUCAUCCAGGCAAAAUUAGGAAGAAUUAUUUUGACAUCCCAAUGUGUGCAAUUUUAAUCAAAAACUUCAUGAGAGAUUGUGGAAGAAAACAACACAUUUUUCCUGUGUUCAUAACAGAACAUCCUGUUUAUAAAGUGACCUUUAACCUCAUCUCACAGUCAAUAAGUGCUUUAGAGUGUAACUCUUAUUCAUACUUUUUCAAACACACUUAUGCAGUUCCUUGUGGAAGCAUUCAUGCCACUUCACAAUUAUGCAGUACUUUGUGUCUGGUUAUCAAAUAAAUCCUAAUAAAAUAAGGUUUGUGACUAAAACAUGACAAAAUAUCAACAGUUCAGGAGACAAUAAUAUAACAUGCAUUCUCUUCAGAUAGCGCUUUUUUUUUUUUUGAAGUCUCCAGGGUAAAAGGGUAACGGUAUGGAUCAAUGGAAAGUUUGGGGAUCGGUACCAAAUUAGAAAAACUUGAGAUAUGAAAUAAUAUUGGUGAAUGUCACAAUAAUGAUAUGAUUUGUGAUAAAUAAAUCAUUUUUAAAAAAGCC